GGGCUGACGUCAGGAGCCAAGAUGGUGGCGGUGGUCGGACUCUCCUUGAGGCGCCGGUUGCCGGCCAGGGCACUUGGCCGAGCCUGCCUACAGGCCUGCCGAGGGAACCAGACAGCUGCAGCCACAGCUCCCCGAAUCAAGAAGUUUGCCGUCUACCGGUGGGACCCAGACGAGGCAGGAGAUAAACCUCGUAUGCAGACUUAUGAAGUUGAUUUGAAUAAAUGUGGCCCCGUGGUGCUGGAUGCUUUAAUCAAGAUUAAGGAUGAAGUUGAUUCCACCCUGACCUUCCGAAGGUCAUGUAGAGAAGGUAUCUGUGGCUCUUGUACAAUGAACAUCAACGGAGGCAACACCCUGGCCUGCACCCGGAGGAUUGACACCAACCUCAACAAAGUCUCAAAAAUCUACCCCCUGCCACAUAUGUAUGUGAUAAAGGAUCUGGUGCCUGGUUUGAGCAACUUCUAUGCCCAGUACAAGUCCAUCGAGCCUUACCUGAAGAAGAAGGAUGAGUCCCAGCAGGGCAAGCGGCAGUAUCUGCAGUCCGUAGAAGACCGUGAGAAACUGGACGGGCUCUUACGAGUGCAUCCUCUGCGCCUGCUGUAGCCCCAGCUGCCCCGUCUACGGGUGGAACGGGGACAAGUACCUGGGGCCUGCGGUUCUGAUGCAGGCCUAUGGCUGGAUGAUCGGCUCCAGGGAUGACUUCAUCGAGGAGCGCUGGACUAGUUUAUCUGGGAAGAAAUUUGGUGACUCUGAUGAGAUUUCCCUGCUUGCAUCUAGCCAGUUUCAGCAGGGCUAUCCCAUGAAAAUUCCCUGCAGCUACAGGAGCCCUUUUCGCUCCAAGGACUCUCUGAAGUAA
Molecule: RNA transcript, 853 nt
Organism: Carlito syrichta (Philippine tarsier)
Lineage: Eukaryota; Metazoa; Chordata; Mammalia; Primates; Tarsiidae
Gene name: succinate dehydrogenase [ubiquinone] iron-sulfur subunit, mitochondrial pseudogene
Exons: 2
Source: RefSeq, a predicted model, not a curated record